Molecule: transfer RNA, 84 nt
Filed under: Thermodesulfobacterium geofontis
Lineage: Bacteria; Pseudomonadati; Thermodesulfobacteriota; Thermodesulfobacteria; Thermodesulfobacteriales; Thermodesulfobacteriaceae
Description: tRNA-Leu
Rfam family: tRNA
About the family: Transfer RNA (tRNA) molecules are approximately 80 nucleotides in length. Their secondary structure includes four short double-helical elements and three loops (D, anti-codon, and T loops). Further hydrogen bonds mediate the characteristic L-shaped molecular structure. tRNAs have two regions of fundamental functional importance: the anti-codon, which is responsible for specific mRNA codon recognition, and the 3' end, to which the tRNAs corresponding amino acid is attached (by aminoacyl-tRNA synthetases). tRNAs cope with the degeneracy of the genetic code in two manners: having more than one tRNA (with a specific anti-codon) for a particular amino acid; and 'wobble' base-pairing, i.e. permitting non-standard base-pairing at the 3rd anti-codon position.
Source: RNAcentral
GCCGGGGUGGCGGAAUUGGCAGACGCGCUGGAUUCAGGAUCCAGUGGGAGUACUCCCAUGCGGGUUCAAAUCCCGCCCCCGGCA